RNAcentral lists this ribosomal RNA (400 nucleotides) under uncultured bacterium. RNAcentral describes it as "bacterial SSU rRNA". It matches the Rfam family "Bacterial small subunit ribosomal RNA", at positions 355 to 769 of the family's 1533-position model. The record is from RNAcentral.
UCGAGAAUCUUCCACAAUGGACGAAAGUCUGAUGGAGCGACGCCGCGUGAUUGAUGAAGCACUUUGGUGUGUAAAGAUCUUUUAUGAGGGAAGAAAUUAUUGACGGUACCUCAUGAAUAAGGGGCUCCUAACUCUGUGCCAGCAGGAGCGGUAAUACAGAGGCCCCGAGCGUUAUCCGGAUUUAUUGGGCGUAAAGGGUGAGUAGGUGGUGCAACUAGUCUUUUGUUAAAUCUUCGGGCUUAACCCGGAGCCGGCGAAAGAAACGGUUGCGCUAGAGGGUGCGAGAGGUGUACAGAACUCAUGGUGUAGGGGUGAAAUCCGUUGAUAUCAUGGGGAAUACCAAAAGCGAAGGCAGUACACUGGCGCAUUCCUGACACUGAAUCACGAAAGCGUGGGUCGC